Molecule: transfer RNA, 71 nt
Filed under: bacterium
Lineage: Bacteria
Also listed under: 1 other name
Description: tRNA-Trp
Rfam family: tRNA
About the family: Transfer RNA (tRNA) molecules are approximately 80 nucleotides in length. Their secondary structure includes four short double-helical elements and three loops (D, anti-codon, and T loops).
Source: RNAcentral
GCGGGAUUGGUGUAGUGGCAACACACGACUCUCCAAAAGUUGUGACGGGGGUUCGAUUCCCUCAUCCCGUG